Molecule: ribosomal RNA, 497 nt
Filed under: uncultured bacterium
Lineage: Bacteria
Description: partial 16S ribosomal RNA
Rfam family: Bacterial small subunit ribosomal RNA
Source: RNAcentral
GAUGAACGCUGGCGGCGUGCCUAAUACAUGCAAGUCGAGCGAACAGAUAAGGAGCUUGCUCCUUUGACGUUAGCGGCGGACGGGUGAGUAACACGUGGGUAACCUACCUAUAAGACUGGGAUAACUUCGGGAAACCGGAGCUAAUACCGGAUAACAUUUGGAACCGCAUGGUUCUAAAGUGAAAGAUGGUUUUGCUAUCACUUAUAGAUGGACCCGCGCCGUAUUAGCUAGUUGGUAAGGUAACGGCUUACCAAGGCAACGAUACGUAGCCGACCUGAGAGGGUGAUCGGCCACACUGGAACUGAGACACGGUCCAGACUCCUACGGGAGGCAGCAGUAGGGAAUCUUCCGCAAUGGGCGAAAGCCUGACGGAGCAACGCCGCGUGAGUGAUGAAGGGAUUCGGCUCGUAAAACUCUGUUAUUAGGGAAGAACAAACGUGUAAGUAACUGUGCACGUCUUGACGGUACCUAAUCAGAAAGCCACGGCUAACUACGUG